Molecule: ribosomal RNA, 253 nt
Filed under: uncultured bacterium
Lineage: Bacteria
Description: partial 16S ribosomal RNA
Rfam family: Bacterial small subunit ribosomal RNA
Source: RNAcentral
UACGUAGGGUGCAAGCGUUAAUCGGAAUUACUGGGCGUAAAGCGUGCGCAGGCGGCUAUGCAAGACAGAUGUGAAAUCCCCGGGCUUAACCUGGGAACUGCAUUUGUGACUGCAUAGCUAGAGUACGGCAGAGGGGGAUGGAAUUCCGCGUGUAGCAGUGAAAUGCGUAGAUAUGCGGAGGAACACCGAUGGCGAAGGCAAUCCCCUGGGCCUGUACUGACGCUCAUGCACGAAAGCGUGGGGAGCAAACAGG